RNAcentral lists this unclassified non-coding RNA (242 nucleotides) under uncultured Helotiales. RNAcentral's name for it is "sequence contains 5.8S rRNA gene". The stretch from base 1 to 53 matches the Rfam family "5.8S ribosomal RNA", at positions 102 to 154 of the family's 154-position model. Lineage: Eukaryota; Fungi; Ascomycota; Leotiomycetes; Helotiales. The record is from RNAcentral.
GAACGCACAUUGCGCCCUCUGGUAUUCCGGGGGGCAUGCCUGUUCGAGCGUCAUUACAACCACUCAAGCCUCGGCUUGGUCUUGGGGUCCCGCGGUCUCGCGGCCCUUAAAAUCAGUGGCGGUGCCGUCUGGCUCUAAGCGUAGUAAUUCUCUCGCUAUAGGGUCCAGGUGGUGGCUUGCCAAAACCCCCCAUUUUUCUAUGGUUGACCUCGGAUCAGGUAGGGAUACCCGCUGAACUUAAG